Long non-coding RNA from Ipomoea nil (Japanese morning glory), 344 nucleotides. RefSeq lists it as uncharacterized. NCBI's taxonomy places the organism in Eukaryota, Viridiplantae, Streptophyta, Magnoliopsida, Solanales, Convolvulaceae. The record is from RefSeq and is a predicted model, not a curated record. The transcript is spliced from 3 exons.
UACUGAUUUUUCUUAAAUUGGCAUCUGACCAGGGUACUUACAGGAACUGUUCACUCCAUCCCUCAUUUAUAUGACAUCAAUACUUCUCAAAGUUAUCUGCCAUUACAUUUCCAAGACAGUAUUGUUAAUGGAGCCAUAAAUCAGGUUAGAUAUUCACGAAGCGGUGGCAUGUUUGUAACAGCAUCCAAAGAUGGUGCUAUUCGGUUGUGGGAUGGCGUAAAUGGCAAUUGUGUCCGAUCCAUAGGUGGUGCACAUGGAACAGUGGAAGCCACAAGUGCAAACUUUACAAAGGAUCAAAGGUAUGUCCUCUCAUGUGGAAAAGACUCUUCUGUGAAGUAUUGGGA